ACAGCAGUAAUCUGUGGUGAAAUUCAAACCUACCCAAUUUUGACUCUUACAUAAAAACUGUAGGGAAGUAUAGCCAACCGCAUCCAGGCAUUUUGUUUUAAUUGUUCCCGGAAUUGGAUUUCGCAGAUGGGCGCUGAGGGAUUUUGGACCCAAUUUAAAGAGACAAAUUGUUUGAGCAAGUUUGCUUAAUGUGUUGUCUUCCAUCCCAGUAAUGAGUCCCGGAUGCAUCAUUAACACACGCCUCCUUUCUUCAUCGCGGCCUUGUUAAAUUGCCCACGUUUGGUUCCUUUGAGCAGUAUACACUGCCAUCUACUGGUUGACCGGCGAAGCUCUCUCGAAUGGACCGUCUCAAAAGGGUGCGAAAUGCGAAUCUUAUUUUCGCCAUAUUGUCUCCAUGGAUAAAAGCAUAAAAUCCCCAUUCAUCAAGGUGGAUUUAUUUUGUUUAUCCGUUUAUAGGGCACUCGUUGGAAUACAUAUGAACCCCUUGAAAUUGGUAGUCAAGUGUUGGUUGUUAGUGUUAUUGUAGUCCAUCACAGUACUGAAUCACUGUUUUUACAGUAUUUUUAUACCAUCUAAUAAAUGUACCUUUUUCAUCAGGAUUACUUUUCUUGUUACUCAUGUAGUGUGUGUGUGUGUGUGUGUGUGUGUGUUGUCAAAUUCCACUCUUUGGCGAUUGUGACUGCUAUAAAAGAUUGCAGCAAGAAAAAUACUUUGUAGUUUUAAGACAAGUUGGUGCAAGUAUUAACUACUGUGUCCUGCUUAUAUAA
This is a long non-coding RNA of Hippocampus zosterae (dwarf seahorse), 767 nucleotides long. RefSeq lists it as uncharacterized. The record is from RefSeq and is a predicted model, not a curated record. NCBI's taxonomy places the organism in Eukaryota, Metazoa, Chordata, Actinopteri, Syngnathiformes, Syngnathidae. The transcript is spliced from 2 exons.